UCUUGCGCAAUGGGCGAAAGCCUGACGCAGCAACGCCGCGUGCGGGAUGAAGGCCUUCGGGCUGUAAACCGCUUUCAGCAGGAACGAAAAUGACGGUACCUGCAGAAGAAGGAGCGGCCAACUACGUGCCAGCAGCCGCGGUGACACGUAGGCUCCAAGCGUUGUCCGGAUUUAUUGGGCGUAAAGAGCUCGUAGGCGGUUUAGUAAGUCGGGUGUUAAAACUCUGGGCUCAACCCGGAGAGGCCAUCCGAUACUGCUGUGACUUGAGUUCAGGAGGGGAGCGGGGAAUUCCUAGUGUAGCGGUGAAAUGCGCAGAUAUUAGGAGGAACACCGGUGGCGAAGGCGCCGCUCUGGACUGAAACUGACGCUGAGAGCGA
Molecule: ribosomal RNA, 377 nt
Filed under: uncultured bacterium
Lineage: Bacteria
Description: bacterial SSU rRNA
Rfam family: Bacterial small subunit ribosomal RNA
Source: RNAcentral